This 202-nucleotide long non-coding RNA is filed under the name Lathyrus oleraceus (garden pea). RNAcentral describes it as "Pisum sativum (pea) long non-coding RNA (PSAT_LNC015479)". Lineage: Eukaryota; Viridiplantae; Streptophyta; Magnoliopsida; Fabales; Fabaceae. The record is from RNAcentral.
UUUUUUUUUUAUAUAAAUUCCUAAGAAAAGGUAAUAACAAUGAAAAGGGAAAGAUAACAUACUUGAAAAGGGAGGAUUUAAAGAACAAGGUUUUCCCCCCCACACUUAAAUGAAACAUUGUCCCCAAUGUUUCAAAGAAAACAAAAGAAAUACAAAAAGAAAAAGAAACUAAAGUCAAUGUUGCCUUCCGCCGCGUGUUCUU